Molecule: ribosomal RNA, 499 nt
Filed under: Paravarcia sp. NS-2013
Lineage: Eukaryota; Metazoa; Arthropoda; Insecta; Hemiptera; Nogodinidae
Description: partial 16S ribosomal RNA
Source: RNAcentral
CAAAAACAUGUUUUUUAGAUUUUUUUAAAAGUUUGGCCUGCUCAAUGAACAUUUUAAAUAGCCGCAGUAUUUUGACUGUGCUAAGGUAGCAUAAUAAUUAGUCUUUUAAUUGAGGUUUGGUAUGAAUGGUUAAACGAGAAAUUUACUUUAUUUAUUUUAUUUUUUUAAACUUUUUUUUUUGGUUAAAAUACCAAAAUUUUUAAGAGGGACGAUAAGACCCUAUAGAUCUUUAAAAUUGUUUUUUUUUUCUUUUUUUUUGAUGUUUUUUUAUGAAAAUUAUUUCAUUUUUUUUGUUGGGGUGACAUAUAAAAUUUUAAACUUUAUAUUUUUUUUACAUUUAUUUUUGGUUAUUUUGAUCUUUUUUUUUGAUUUUAAGAAUAAGAUACCUUAGGGAUAACAGCGUUAUAUAUUUGGAGAGUUCUAAUCGAUAAAUGUGUUUGCGACCUCGAUGUUGGAUUAAAAUUUUACUAUGGGGUAGGUUUUAUAGUUUAGGUCUGUC